GUUGUGCAACACAAUGGCACCCUCUGUUAUAGAAAAUGAGAAUGUAGACAUGAAGACAUUUAGUUUUUCAUCCAGCUCUAUUUUCUCAGGUCUACUCAGGUGUUCAAUGUGUUGUUGUUUUUUGAGACAAAUGCCUCUUUUCUGGCCCCUGGGAGGAAAGUUAGGGCUCGUUUUGGGGUCAGGUAAGCUUUCAGUAUCAACAUUUUAGGAAAUACGCUUAUUUGCUUUCUCACCAAGAGUUAGAUGAGAUUGUUACCGCAGAGAUCUGAAGAUGCUCAACUGUCGGAAAAUUUGCUCAGCUGGUCAAAUAAAUCCUCCGUCUAGUGUGUUUAUUCACAAUCCUGACAGCUUGACUCAGAUCAGUUUAAGGAGGGUGAUUCUGGCACAAAUUGAAUGCAUGUGUAUUUUAAAGAAAACAUGGGCACACAGUUUCUUAAUGAUUAAUAGUGUAAUUAAUGUGUUUGUUAAUAUGAUUACUACUGGUUAAUCACUAAGUAUCUGAAACAAGACCCAAGUAUUUUACAUUUGUUGAUUCUUCGAGGUGAAUAAAUAAGUGAAAAAUACUUGUACACUCUCUGCAGUCUGAGGAAGUGUCAGUACCAAGAUUUCUAUUUUAAUAUUGAUGAAUGCUAAUAAACAUAAAUGUAUGGUAA
Molecule: long non-coding RNA, 653 nt
Organism: Etheostoma spectabile (orangethroat darter)
Lineage: Eukaryota; Metazoa; Chordata; Actinopteri; Perciformes; Percidae
Exons: 2
Source: RefSeq, a predicted model, not a curated record